RNAcentral lists this ribosomal RNA (445 nucleotides) under uncultured bacterium. Its description in RNAcentral is "partial 16S ribosomal RNA". It matches the Rfam family "Bacterial small subunit ribosomal RNA", at positions 354 to 796 of the family's 1533-position model. The record is from RNAcentral.
GUGAGGAAUAUUGCGCAAUGGAGGCAACUCUGACGCAGCCAUGCCGCGUGCAGGAAGAAGGCGCUACGCGUUGUAAACUGCUUUUAACCGGGAAGAAACCCCAGGACGUGUCCUGGGUUGACGGUACCGGAGGAAUAAGCACCGGCUAACUUCGUGCCAGCAGCCGCGGUAAUACGAAGGGUGCAAGGGUUAUCCGGAUUCAUUGGGUUUAAAGGGUGCGUAGGCGGAGCGUUAAGUCAGGGGUGAAAUCCUGCAGCUUAACUGUAGACUUGCCAUUGAUACUGGCGCUCUUGAGUGCGCUUGAAGUGGGCGGAAUGUGCCGUGUAGCGGUGAAAUGCUUAGAUAUGGCACAGAACACCAAUUGCGAAGGCAGCUCACUAAGGCGAUACUGACGCUGAGGCACGAAAGCGUGGGGAUCGAACAGGAUUAGAAACCCUGGUAGUCC